CCCCUUGAUCUAAUUCUCCCUUGACCCUAUUUAACUCAUGCUCCGUUCGCGGAGACAUGGUGCUAAACCUUUUGUGCAAUAGGCAUACAGGACGGGGCUUCGAUGCCCCCGCCUCCACCAAACAACUCGAUGAUCGUUUCAUCGGUGAAUGGGGGCGACAUGGGAUCGACUGGUGUUGAAAGACAAAAGCUGUGCUCGGCAUGAUACCACCGUUAUCGGGUCAAAAAGUGUAGUUGCAAACGACAACAACGCUAAGGGUUAUGCUCUCGCUGCCUAACGGCGGUGCGGGAAAUCCGACCUAAGUCCUUAUUGUUAGCGCUCUAAGGCGGGGUUCGGAGGUACCUGGCAACAGAAACCUCCACU
This 363-nucleotide transfer-messenger RNA is filed under the name Neorhizobium galegae. It matches the Rfam family "Alphaproteobacteria transfer-messenger RNA". From Rfam's summary of the family: Bacterial tmRNA, also known as 10Sa RNA or SsrA, is named for its dual tRNA and mRNA-like properties. Its role is to liberate the mRNA from a stalled ribosome. To accomplish this part of the tmRNA is used as a reading frame that ends in a translation stop signal. The record is from RNAcentral. Lineage: Bacteria; Pseudomonadati; Pseudomonadota; Alphaproteobacteria; Hyphomicrobiales; Rhizobiaceae. RNAcentral also lists the same sequence under 1 other name.